UACCCACAGGAAGAGAAAACAACCGUGAUUCCGUGAGUAGUGGCGAGCGAAAGCGGAAGAGGCUAAACCAUGGGUGUGUGAUAGCCGGCAGGUGUUGCAUUCGUGGGGUUGUGGGGUUCAUUUUGUCAAUACUGCCGUGUUGGCCAACAGUAAGAAAUCACAGGGUUAGUGGAAGUGGUCUGGAACGGCCUGUCGUAGAGGGUGAGAAUCCCGUACACGAAAACUUUGUGACUGUUGUAAUGGAAACCCAAGUAGCACCGGGCCCGUG
This 268-nucleotide ribosomal RNA is filed under the name Rhodococcus erythropolis. Its description in RNAcentral is "partial 23S ribosomal RNA". It matches the Rfam family "Bacterial large subunit ribosomal RNA", at positions 207 to 428 of the family's 2925-position model. The record is from RNAcentral. Lineage: Bacteria; Bacillati; Actinomycetota; Actinomycetes; Mycobacteriales; Nocardiaceae.